UACGUAGGGGGCAAGCGUUGUCCGGAAUUAUUGGGCGUAAAGCGCUCGUAGGCGGUUUGUCGCGUCGGAUGUGAAAACCCGGGGCUCAACCCCGGGCCUGCAUUCGAUACGGGCAGACUAGAGUUCGGUAGGGGAGACUGGAAUUCCUGGUGUAGCGGUGAAAUGCGCAGAUAUCAGGAGGAACACCGGUGGCGAAGGCGGGACUCUGGGCCGAUACUGACGCUGAGGAGCGAAAGCGUGGGGAGCAAACAGG
RNAcentral lists this ribosomal RNA (253 nucleotides) under uncultured bacterium. RNAcentral describes it as "partial 16S ribosomal RNA". It matches the Rfam family "Bacterial small subunit ribosomal RNA", at positions 524 to 776 of the family's 1533-position model. The record is from RNAcentral.